AUUGAACGCUGGCGGCAGGCCUAACACAUGCAAGUCGAGCGGAUGAAGGGAGCUUGCUCCUGGAUUCAGCGGCGGACGGGUGAGUAAUGCCUAGGAAUCUGCCUGGUGGUGGGGGAUAACGUCCGGAAACGGGCGCUAAUACCGCAUACGUCCUGAGGGAGAAAGUGGGGGAUCUUCGGACCUCACGCUAUCAGAUGAGCCUAGGUCGGAUUAGCUAGUUGGUGGGGUAAAGGCCUACCAAGGCGACGAUCCGUAACUGGUCUGAGAGGAUGAGCAGUCACACUGGAACGGAGACACGGUCCAGACUCCUACGGGAGGCAGCAGUGGGGAAUAUUGGACGAUGGGCGAAAGCCUGAUCCAGCCAUGCCGCGUGUGUGAAGAAGGUCUUCGGAGUGUAAAGCACUUUAAGUUGGGAGGAAGGGCAGUAAGUUAAUACCUUGCUGUUUUGACGUUACCAACAGAAUAAGCACCGGCUAACUUCGUG
RNAcentral lists this ribosomal RNA (484 nucleotides) under uncultured bacterium. RNAcentral describes it as "partial 16S ribosomal RNA". It matches the Rfam family "Bacterial small subunit ribosomal RNA", at positions 30 to 507 of the family's 1533-position model. The record is from RNAcentral.